Molecule: ribosomal RNA, 92 nt
Filed under: Bacteroides thetaiotaomicron
Lineage: Bacteria; Pseudomonadati; Bacteroidota; Bacteroidia; Bacteroidales; Bacteroidaceae
Also listed under: 4 other names
Source: RNAcentral
GGGUUCCACCUCUUCCCAUUCCGAACAGAGAAGUUAAGCCUCGUCACGCCGAUGGUACUGCGUAACAGUGGGAGAGUAGGUAGCCGCCGUUU